RNAcentral lists this long non-coding RNA (477 nucleotides) under Elaeis guineensis (African oil palm). RNAcentral describes it as "long non-coding RNA (EGUI_LNC045457)". The record is from RNAcentral. Lineage: Eukaryota; Viridiplantae; Streptophyta; Magnoliopsida; Arecales; Arecaceae.
GACCGCACACUUACAUGGUUAAACUUAAGGUUCACUUCUCUACUACUGACAUACAAAUUUUUAAAUCCUCUUCAUCCCAAGAGGGCGAGGCUGGAGAUAGCGAUGUUGAGUUUUGGUUUGGUUCCACUAACCCAGAACCAACCAAUGCUUAUUAGAGAAACCUCUCACCCAGGUCUGGCAGCAUUUCACCAAAGAAGCAAAAUCCAAGGUACAGGAUUGUUCAUCAUCGACUGUUGGGCCCAGUCGUUGAAACCAUAGGCGACCCUCGAGCCUCCUACUCUUCGAUAGUCUCUGGGUACCUUAAGUGAGCCACCCUACUAGCUGAUCUACUCAUGAACCUACGGCUCCUAGUCUAUAAAUCCCUAAUAAGAUUAUGAAAAUUGUCAUCACACCUAAGCCACAGGCACCGUCCCCUCUCAUUUUGAAUUCAAACAGAAUAGAUACUUUAAUGGAUGCCUAUUCCGAUAGCUUUGCACC